CUUCCCGUGUCGCCACGGCAACAGCCAACGGGGUGGGACGGGGGAAGAAAGAGCGGGGAGGAGGAGGAGGAGGAGGAGGAAGAAGAAGAAGAAGAAGAGGGCGGGCACCGCCCCGUCACGUGGCGCGCCCCCCUUCCUGCCCCCGCGCGCGGUGGCCGCACGUGAUGCCGGCGGGCGGUGGCGGCGCUGCCGCCGCUCUCGCCCGUGUCCCUUCCCCUUCCCGCGUCCCCUGCCGUGCCGCCGCCCUGGGCACACAGCGUCCCCCGGCCCCGCUCCGAGCGGGAAGGGCCGGCGGGCGGUGGCGGCGGGGGCGGGCCCGGCCAAUGGGAGCGCGGGCCGGGCUCCCGCGGUUCCGCUUCCCGGGCGGCGGGAGGCGGCUCCGGCGCGGAUGGCGAUAGCUUUGGUGCGUUGAGAAGGAAGAAGAUUAUCCGCCAGCUUCUUGCAGUUCCCAUGUCCAAAGCUGCCGAAGUACACUGGAAACCACACGUAUCUGAGUGAUUGAAAUAUAUCAGUACCAGUGACGUAGACAGUUUUUUACAGGACCGUCAGAAUUCAUUUGUAAAUAUUGCAGAGCCUGAUCAGAACUGAAUAAUGGUUUCAACAAAUGACCUAAUUUCUAUUGGUGACUUGAGACCUUCAAGUAUUAGAAAAGAGCCUACGAGAAUGUGUAAUAUCACAAAAUACAAGAUACUGUACAGAUUAAUAACUAUUGUACAGAUUAAAUAACUGUAACUAAUUAAUUAACAGUAACAGAUUAAUUAACUGUAACUAAUGUACAGAUUAGAUUAAUAACUAUUUGUAGUGUGAAUCCAGGAACCCUCCAGCAGAGUAGUGGGAAAACACCUGGAUUUAUUAGUCAAUAAUAAAAGCAGACUGCCAAUUUAAUGUGGUUGUGAAAAAACUGAGUGUGACAGUGGUGUGCACACAGCCAAACUUCUGGUUGACUGGUGAGACAUUACUGUAUCCAGUUCUGAUAAAUCAUGUCCAGGAAAGAGGAGUUUGUGCAGAAGUACUUCCGGGAGGGUUACUGGAGAUGAAAACAAAGCUUAUCUACAAGAGUGCUCCGGGACUAUUUGUUUGAUUAACCUAGGAAAAGCAAAUGCAGGGGAGGAUUAUGAGCAACCAGUAAGGCAGGGUGGAGUCAGGCUCAAGCGAGCAGGCAUUUAACCUAAUGAGCAACACUGAUGGGAGAGCACGGAUCUAAACUGAUUAUAACCUAGGUAGAAAACUGAACCCUGUCUCAGUCCAGCGAGGAUUUCGUCUUCCAUGAAGAACAGUGAAAAUGGACUUAUCAACAGGCUUUAAAACGUGUUGUGCAUCAGAAUAGGAAGAUUAUAUAAUUAUACAAAACAGGUUUAAGUGGUCAAUGUUGGAGGGAGGAGUUUUGAGCCUCCCCAACUCAUCCUGAGACCAGAGCAACCUCCUGAUGUUCAGCAAAAGAAAAGCUGUCUGCUGCUGGUUCAUGAUGGGGAGGGUGGGAAGGCCACAGUUCAGAAAGAGGUAACAGGAAUGCUCCCACUAAGGAGAUUUACAGCAGGUGUUCAGUCUCUGAGAUUUGAUGGGCAGCCAAAUGUUAUUUUACUUAAUAGUGUAUGCAGGGACCUAAGAAAUGUAGAAACUGGAAAUAUAGAAGGAUAGUGUGUAUAUAGAGUAUGGAGGAUGUAAAAGAAAAUGUAGGAUGGUCAACAGGAGGAGGAGCUGGAUGCUGUGAGUGGAUGACUGUUCCUGAGGAUCUUGCCGUUGCUGUUUUGAGGCUGAACAUCUUGUCAUUGCUCAGUGCUGUUUUUCGGAACUUUGUUUUUGAUUGUAAUUCAUCUGACAAGAAAAACAACACUGAAAAUUCACCUAAUAAGUGCUGGAGGCUCAGCCCUAUAAACAAAUACAGCAUCAGUUAUGUGGAGUUAUUUAUAGUGAGGCGGAGAACAUGGGGUCAUUUAGGUCCUGCCAGUCUGUUUUUAUUGCAUGUUGCUUAUACUUCUGUUCUUCUUUACUGAAGAACGGGAGGAAAAAAAUGAGGUAGUAAAUUGCAGGGAAUGAGAAACUUCCUGCCAUAAAAGAUUGAAUUGGGCAAGGCUUGCCAGGCAAAUAUCUCAGCCCACAGCAUGCUUUCCCAGCUUGACUUCCUUUGUAGCUUCUCACAGGAGACUCCGGAGUCAUCCAGUCCCCCUGUGCUGUACAACUGGGCUUUUGCCGGCUUCCUAGGAUUUUGAAACUUCAGUUUUAUUGCUCACUUCUUAAGUCUUUUUAUGUCUUGUAUCGAGCUGUCUUAUUUCAAGCUUCAGUGGCCUGCGGCUUACCGCACUCUUUUAUGGUAGCCUGGAGUUUCUCAGUAAAUAUUGAAUUUUUAUCUUGAGCAGCGACCAACACACUGGUUUGUAAUUUUUUUUUCAAGCUAUUGUAGCCUCUGACUGUGCAUUAGGGUAUGUAUUUAAAAGAGGAAAAUGGCCUCUAAUGUCUAUUUCCACCCUAAAGCCAGGGUUUGCCAAUUCUUCACUAUUAACAGUAUCAGUCACAAAAUGUAGCAGCAUGAAAGAUGGGGGAAUCCAUAGUUCCCUCCCUCUGAGAGCAGAUGAUGAUCUUCUGAAGCACAGGAAAAUGUGUGAGAUAAAGCUCUCUGUGCUACAAACUGUUCUGGUGUAUAUUUGUUUUCCAUGGUCAAGUGUUCUUUAAGUGCUUAUUAGUAGAAGAACGUGAUUUCCUGUCCUUGCUUACCAUCAUGUCUACAUUCAGGCUGGCAAUUUCUCCUAACUGUGUGUCAUUGCAGUAUUUAGGAAGUGUUAAGGAUUAAGAUUUUGUUUAGUCCUUAAUAUUUCUUGUUAGAGAAAUUGUCUUGUUAGUACUGUCCAUAAAGUUGUUAGCAAAUUGAGGAUGAAAUAAGCUGCAGUGAAAGGUGGCUGACUUGGCUUACCCUGUCCUUAGCAUUUUAGCACCUUACCAGCUGAUCAGACUGGUAAUUUCCCUUUCACACUAGCAGUAAAGUUGUCCCAUUCUUUUACCAAGUGCAAAAUUAUAAAUGUUUGACACCUUUGUUCAUGCUUUCUAGGUGAGAGCAGGAACUAUCUGGGUUCACUUGUAAAGGUGAAGGAGGCUGGGCCUCCUCUGUCAUGUCUGACAGCAGUUGAGUGGCAGCUCAGGUCCCCCAAGAGUCCAUCAGUGACAGCCAACACCACCUCCAGCCUGCUGGAGGGACUAGGAUUUGGGAUUUAACUUAACACUGGAAGAACAUGUUAGAGAAGCAAGGUUUCAUUAACUUCUCUGCUUGGGGCUUUUUGUUUUGUUCUUAAGCAAAUCUAAGCCCUUGUUUUGGAAGGUAUGGUGAGUGUGCUUUGGUUUUGUAGUGGUGAAGCCUUGUGUGAGCUGAGGGAAUGACUUUUGUCUCUGUGUCUAGCCUCACUGAAGUCAGGGGUGCUCUGUGCCAAGAUGAGAUAGCAGCUCUCCACAGACCUCCCUGUAAGGCAGAGUCAAAAUCUGCAGUGGUGACAAGUCAUCAUUACUUGUCUGCAUUGGCUGGAGCAGGGAUUGGCUAUGUGCAGGGAUUCAUUCCUGUGUGCCAGCCUGGGCUCAGCACCCUAAGCUGGUAAAUUAGGCUGAUCUGUCCAGUGUAGCAGGUGUGAUGGUCAUCAGUAUUGCUGUGCUUUAGUUCUGGUACCUGGAUUUGGGAAGACAAUUCACAAAGCUGAGGUAAGCUCUAGGAAAUUCUUGGCAAAACUGAGACUUUAGCACUUGGAUUCCCAGCAGCCAAGCAUGCUGAAUGGGGAGAUUUUAAACCAGAUGAUUGGAAAUGUUCUUUGGGCAACUCUUUUCUGCUCAGUUUUAAUUGCUUAUAGUCUUCACUUCAGCACAUUUAGAGUCAGAGAGCCAAAAUCUGACGUGGUCUCUUGUACUUCCUGUGGUCCAUAGGGGUGAAAGCAGACCCUGGAAGCUGGCUCUGUUACCUCCCCAGCUCUGCCCAACCCCACACUGCCUUUCUCCCUCUGACACCUGUGCUGGGCUAUUUCAGCUCACUAAAUUUGUAGAAAGUGAACCCAGACUAUAAAUACAAAUUGUUUUAUAAUUCCUAGUUGCCAGGGGCUCAGCCAUGAAAGAAGAACAGAGUUAACUCUGUUAACUCUCACAGUGUUAACAUCUUCAACUUAAAACAGUUUAACUCCCACCUAUUGAUUCCCAAGAGACUGUUUUGUGUUGUGAGGGAAAACAAAUGAGAUUACAUUCCAGCAGAACGAGAUUCAAUUAAUGUGUUUUCCCUUACAACUAGAGAGGACAACCAGUGUGAACACAAUUACUGUGGCUCCACCAAUAGAUACUCAUUAAAUUGCUGAACCUGCCACUUUCAAUUGUGUGAUCCAGUCCCCAGGGUUUGGGUUCUUCUGGUUUUUUACAGUUUGAAAGAGAUGGAGACAAUAGCAGUAGACAUACCAAAGUCUUCUCUCAGUCAUAAUUUAAUUUUCUAACCAGAAAGGAGCAUUAAGGUAGCUUCAGUCCCAUGGGUUUAUUUCAAAAUUCGAUAGGUCCACAGAUCCCCACAGCUUUCUCAUUAUUGAUCUUUCCUAACACUGCAGGUUAACUGUUAAAAGAAGGGGAUCACUUGUUGAGGGGUAGGAAUGAUGAUUUUUUUAACUGUUUUAUGCAGUCAGCUGCCCAUCCCUGUCGUGUAUUAAGGUCAUUGUGUUUAAUUGAAGAUGGUGGUUAAAUUAAAAAAGAGUAAUUGCUCCUGGCCUCUCUUUUUGCAAAUAGUAAAAAUUUGAUAAGCCAUUCCCCCAAAGUGCCUGGAAAUCAAAGUGAAAAUAGUAUGAAUUAGCUUGUGACCUGAUUUUUACUGUUUUCAGUGUUUUUGGUGGACUUUUGCUGAUGUAUUAUCUCAUUUCACAGCAAAACUUUCCUUGCUUCCCAUAAAGCAAAUAAGAAACCUUGGUGGUGCAAUUAAUUUUAAUUAAACUUCAACUGCAUAUUUAAGUUUUGUAAGAAAUACUCAUCACUAAUAAAGUUAAGUUAAAUAGCUGUUGUUCAGAUGUAAAAACAGAGGGAGUCAGUUUAAAGAUGCAAAAUAAACCAAACCCAGGUAAUUUAUUAUUUUAUUUGACUGUGUCAUUCUUUCUCCUUAUGAUGUUUAAAAAUAAAUCAAUUCAAUCACCAGACUUAAGAGAAAGUUAAGACAAUGAUUGUCUGUUUUUAUUAAGAUACAAAAGUUUUGCAGUAUCUGUUAUAAGAUAGUCUUUUUUUUUUCUGAGUGAGACUUAAAAUAAGUCCUUUUUUAUAAUAAUCAUUGUAAAAGCAUCAUGGACGUUAGAGUUAUAGGCACCAAUAAGUAUUAUAGUUACAAUAAUAGUAGUUUGUUAUGUGGUUAUUUUUUGCAAAAUAUUCAGAGCUGAUAUUGUAAGAUCUCUUAAUUGCUCUGAGUUACGCUGUAAAUUAAAAUAAGAUUUCCAGUAUGCUUUUCACAGAAAAAGGGGAAGCAUUUAAUCUUGAUUUCACAUAAUGCAAUCAUAACUUGGAUAAAUUCAAUUUAGUACAUGAACUAAAACCGAGCAGGUGAUUUUGGUGCAUAUCCAAAGGGCUGGGUUUGUUCUGAGUGUUUGGAUUUACACCAUGUGUCCUGGUAGAGUUGGUUGCUGUGCCAAGCACGGCAGUCACUGUGGGAAAGGGCUGGGGAGGGUCCCUGAGGAGAGGCAGGUUUUAAGGGCAGACAUGCAGAGGUAGGUUUAAAGGGGGCUGGUCAUUGCCUGAAGUGCAGACCCUGUCUGUGUACACCAGGAGGUGGACAAAUGUACAGUAACUUGUCUCUUUCUGCAUGGAAGUCUGGAGUUUCUACUUGUAGGAGCUUGUGGAGCCCAACCUCUUAAUUAGUGGGACAGGAGGUUUUAACUGAAUGCUUCACGAUCAUGUGGCUUAUAUAUGAUCUUUAUCAACAUAGGAGCUACUAACUGCUGGCCUUCAGAGAUUAACAUUAAGGGCAUGAACAUAAUUGCCUCCCAACAUUGACUCUUGGGUUUGCCUUUUGGUCUUUAGUUAUUGUUGCUUCUUUUUGCUGCUUUGUGAUAGAUUGUUCGGAUUUUUUUUAACAGAAACCAGGAAUCUCAUGUUUUUCGUGCCAGUAGCUCAUGCUUUAAGACAACCCAAUAUCAUAAAUUUAUGAUAAAAUCAUUCUGAGGAUAAAGAAAAGAUUCAUGCAAGGAAAAACUAAAAGGAGCUGAGUUUGGGAGGUGUACAAAGCUCUCAUACUCUUCUUUAAGUCUUCAGUGCUGUAUUUGAAUGCAACACUGGGACUGCUGUUUUCAAGCAGCCUUUCAGAGGUGUGUUAUAGUGGGAGGCCUGUGCAAGCAGGAAAUCUGCAUAUCCUACUUAAGGAACCACAGCUCAUUUGUUUGAGGAAGAUAAUACAAAGAAUUAGCUCCAGCCCCUCUUGGCAUUUUCUCUUGGGCUUUCAGUGAGAGCUGAUACAAUUACAGGUAGAUGCUUGCAAAAUAAUUUGGGAGCAACCCACAACACACCAAACAAAUCUACCGUGUUAGAGUUUUCCAGAAUUAUUUUGGGACUUUCAUAUAGAUCUGGUCCCACUGCACAGAGAUGAACUUUAUCAGGAUAGCUUUUCUGGGACAGAUUCCAACAAUAUAUUUCCUUGUGGGUUUGGGAUGAGCACACUGGACCUAUUAGAUGUCUGAGGAAAAUACUAGAACUACUCCAUGACAAUCUUCUCAAAGUGGUUAGUGUCUGGUCAUGCCUCCUCUGGAAAAAAACCCCAUCAUUCAGGUGAUGUAUUUUUAUCAGGUAACAUGAUGGCUUUCUUCAUGCAGAGAGAGACAUGAGCAAAAUUCGUGAUUGCUGCAGCCCUGUAAUGUUCUCUUAAACCAUACAAGUCAGCCACACCUGUCUAGUUAAGGAGUAGCUUUUCAUAAAAUACUCUUAUAAGCAAAGUUUUUAAAUUAUUAAGAGGGUGCUGGAAAAAUUGGUGUAGUGUUUUAAAAAGUGAUAAUUUAAUUUGCAUAUGAUGUCCAAGUACCUCUGUGUGUGUGUGUGUAUGUAGUUAGAAGACAUAAAGGAAAUUAAAAAAAGUAAAUCUUUGCUGCAGUGUUUUCCAAGGACUUGAAAACCUUCAGCCAGUGUUUCAGCUCCUAUAAAUUGGCAUAAACUCCAAUAGCUUAAAGCUGCAUUAGUUUAUGUGACCCAAGGAGAUGACCACUGGGAUUUGUGGGACCACUGUGUAAAUACGAGAGCCUUCAACCUGCCAGGGUCAAAAUAAAUAAUGCCUUUGGUACAGUCCUGGCUCCAUGCUUACAUUUUACUCCUCGAUUUAAGCAACAUCAUGUGAAGCAGAGCAGGGCUAAGGGAGCCUUCAGCAGCUCUGCACCUGUCCCCAGCAAAACCCCUACCAGGCUGCUGCCAUUUUCAUCUUGCAGAUGGAAACUGAUGAAGAGAGAAGCUGUGUCCUUACUGUGGCAUUAAAAAUUCACUUUGUGGACAAAAGAGGCAGUGGCAGAGCUUUCCAGUGCUAAGUAAGGGGCAAACCCUUCUGAGGAACAUCUGACAUGACAAGAAAGUUUUGUUCCUCCAAGCCCCUCACUUGCCUGUGGAGUAACACAGAAGGAGGUGGAGAAAUGCUCUUGCAGCUCUGCCCUUGUGCCCACACAGAUGCUUCCUUGGUGUCAAGACAAAACAAAUUAAAUGGUCCCCACAGGCUCUACCUGUGCAACGUGCCCCUCUGCAGGGGUGGGUGAAUGGACCCUCAGGGGUGGAGCUGGGCAGGCUAAAUUGUUAUGAAUGCAAAUGCCUGAAGAACAGGCUUUUAAAAUAGUUUUCUUUUUCCCCUGAGAUAGAAAAGGCACUGAUUAAAAACGUUGGCACUUUUUGCCAAUCCAGGCUUUAUCCAGAGGAAAAACGCAGCAGUCUGGGAGGUGCCAGGGAUGCUCCUGGCAGGAGUAGCAGAUGCAGAGCCAUUCUUCCCUGCAGCAGGUUUGCUGCACUAGCCGGCAUAGCUGCAGGCUGCUAGCAUCAUAAACCUCCAGCUAUUUUUAUUUCAUCAAAACAAAUGCAAAGUUUGCCUCUAAACAGAUAUAAAAUGCUCUAAAAGAGUCUUGGGCUUUUUCUGGCAUGGAAAAGAUGCAGUGAGCCAAGCCCUGUGUCCUGUGCCCAUGUGGGUAGAGGUGUGUGGAGACACACCAGGAAAGGCUGAGGAGCAGUUGCUGGGAGGCUGGGUUGAAGCUGAGAGGACAGCUGCAUGUGAGCCUGUGUCACCUGCAUUAAAUGAAUGGGAUGGGGUCGAGGGCCUAAGGCACACAGAUCCAGCCAGGUCUCCCUUCUGAAGCAGAGGGAGCUUUGGCAGCCCCUUGGCUGAGCAGGGACCAUCGGUGGUCAGGGGACGCUCAAGGGCAGAAACAGGCAGGUGUGUUGCAGGCAAGCUUUGUCUCACCUCAGCCACCUCUGAGAUCUGUAGGUGCCCUGUGGAGCUCAUCAGCCUCCCAAACCCCCAGACUUCUUAAUUUUACUGAUUUAAAAAUAGCCUCAGGCUCCUUAAGGGGCUGCAGCUGAGGAGACUCCCUUGUAACCCAGCUGGCUGAAGGAGCCCUGUAAAACUCACCUGAUACUUCAGGUCCUCCACAGGGAGGUUUUCCAAGUGUGGUAGAAAAAGGCAUUUUUACAUUUCUGUCUUUGCAUGUGCUCCAAUUCCUCUGUGUUUUGACAGAAGGAAAUGUGGCACAAGGGGCUGGCUACAGGGAAUGCCAGUGCUGGCCUACAGCAGGGGUUUGGCAGAAGAAAUACCAACAAGGAGAAGCCAACAGGACUUACUGUAGAGGCCACAGACUUUCCUUCUUCAUACUUACUAACUUCUCAGAGAAGUCCUGGUACUUCUGAUGCCAUAGGUUAGGGGACUUUGGGUUUUAUUUAUUUACAGUGAUGCCAUUUUUCAUGUGCAGGAGCAGGAUAGCUGGUGAGGCUGUUUGGAUUCUGACACAGGAUGUGUUGAAGGAAUUAAGACACAUUCCCCAGGGUCUGCCUCUGAAUCCUCUCCUUCCUGUUGCCUUCAGCUCUAUUAGAAGGCUGUAGGGUGGUCCUGUGGUAAAUCUAGUAAUCUGCUAGACGAAGCACCAGGCAUCUGAGAAGACCUUCUAUGGCUUGUUGACAGCCAAUCUAAUUAUCCCUGUAGUGAUUGCCACAGACAGACACACACUUUGGGAUCCUGAAAGAAAAACAUUGUUUAAAAAGAUGAGGUACUUCCAUUUGUGUGAAACAGGGUACUUUUCACUGCUGAGCAGCUACCCACAGCUCCUGCAGAGCAUGGCAGUGUCCAUAAAUCUACACACUAGCUUCUCCAAAUACCCUGCUCAAGUAACCCAGCCUGAAUCUAUUCCUUUCACCUGUGCAUCCAGCUCCAGUAACAAGUGUUUAAUCCCACUGAAGCCCAGGUCUUGCUUCUGAGGGACCCCACCACAAAUUCUGGAUGUUUCAAUGGGUAUCAGCCCCUGUGAAUGGGAGCUUCUGACACCAUGAUGCUGCAGCAUGCAUUUCUAGAUAAAACUCACCUUGGGAAAUGUUUACAUUGCUGAGCACACUGAAUCCAAGUUCUACAAAUGCCACAUCUUAUCAGGGCCAUUUUCUUUAUUAGUUUUAUUGCAAAUUGGCUUGAGUCUAUUGACUCCUAGAGCAUGAAGCCACAUCCAGCUAAGUCUUGGAAGCUGAAAACGAAAGGAGAUGCAGCUGUUUCUCUCUGGAGCAUUCAUGAGGUAAUAAUAGUAACAAUAAGGGGAAGGAAAAUAGAGCAGUUUCAUUGUGACAUUUUUUAGAAAGUAAGGAUUCCAUUGAAUAUAAAAUGGUAAUUGAUUUUAGGCACUUGGAUGGACUAAUGUUUGCUUUUAAUAGAGUCAUUUUCUGAGAAGUGCAGAAAAAGCUGUGUCAAGAGGGAGCAGCCCUCACUUCGUAUAGAGAGGUGCUGCUGAGUAGAAGUGUUGAAGUCCUUUAUUUAAAUAGGAAUAAUUAUAUUACACAGGAAACUUGGAUUUGAAAGCAGUUCCUCUGAUACAUUCCUCUUCAGGAGUAAUUAUCUGCUGCAUUCACCAAAGCCCAAAGGCUGUUCUCAUAUCACAUUGGUUCAUCUGCAUUAUGGCUAAAAUUAAAACAAAGGGAGACAAAUAAGAAAGGAUGUAAAACUGCCAAAUGCCAGGUCUAAAAGGAAGUCUUUUUCACCAAGAUGGAAGGUAAAAUGCCUUUUAGAGUGAACAUCUGAUGUUGAUGUAGGUAAAAUCCAAGUAAGAGAAUAAUAAUGCUGCACUUGGCUUCUCACCAUUUGAUUUCCCCUCACUGCUUUGCACCUUCUGCUUUUCAUGGGGUUUCCAUCAUAUCCAAGAAGCUCUCAUCAAAACCUUUCCUGUGGACAGCAUUCACUGGAAGACUGCUCUGGCCAAAGCAGAGAGUUGCUUCUGCUGCUGAGGUGGAGACUCCUUUGCAGUCAGCCUGCUUCAUUUGUCUUCUUCCUGACCAUAAAAUGUUGGACAGAGCAGAUGAGACAUUGCCUUCAUGGAAGUCAGAUCUUCUCUAGGAAGGCUAACACCACUUUACCUUCCAUGCAAAACAAAUCCAUAAUUAAAUGAUGCUUUAAAUGCUCAGACUGUUGUGGUUUCCUUCUUAUGAAAAUGAAGUUCAUUUGGUCGAUUCCACGGGAACUGACUCACAAAGGCUUCCAUAACCUUGCAAGGAACUUCUCUGUAUGGUCAAGAACAGCAUGGCCCUUAAUUUGGAUCCAUUAAUCUCCUAAGGAAGGCCAGCAGAAUCAGGUGAAUGAAGAUAAAAGCCUCUGUGCAUGAAUUAAGACAGAAUUGGCUAAUGCUCCCUCUUAAAUAGUAAGUGGACAUUUCCCCCCUGAAGUUUCUCUAAACAGAAAAGGAUUCACAUUAAUGUGCAUGUGUAGUGGUGGGGAAAGGUGUUUGAUUACUGUAGUACAGAUCACUUAAAUCAUCUCCUCAUCUUUCAGGCAGUGUGCUCAAUCUGUGGGGGCAAGAUGAAUCAGUUCCUUGCACCCAUUGCAGUCCUGCAGUGGUGCAAGGACCACAGUGUGCUCUCCAGCCACAUGGUGCUGUGAAAGCCUACAUCAUCUCUAGAGCCAAAGGAAAAAAAGGGGAACAAGAUGGUUUGAAAAAACAACCACCCUCAGACAAAAAUAAAGGCAUGGAAGCCAGCAGGUGGCAUGGGGUUCCCAUGGUGCAUAUAUGCUUAGAAUGCUCGGGUGAAAGCCAGAGCAAGAAGGAGCUGGAGGCAGGAUUGGGAAUGCACAGCACCCUGCUGUGUGCCCCAGCUUGAUGGAGGAGGGGUCACACUAGGCACCUCUGUAGGCAGCAGGGCUGGGAACACUUCAGAAGAAGCAGUUCUGCCUAGAAAUUCAAUGUUGUUACCCUCGGUCAAAGCCUCAGUCAGUCUCCUUUUGCUUAUACAAGAACCCUGGGACUGAAUGCAAAAGGCUUGGAUUUAGUGUGGUAAAAGCAUAUUUCUGUUCUACCUGCACACAGAAAAGGAUGCUCAGGAAGAAACUAUUGCCACUAUUCAGGCAAUCCAUACUGUGCUACAUCUGGCAAAUAGAGCAGCUGCAAGUAAGAAAGUGCCGAGCUGGCUGACAAUUGGAUUUAAUUUGGUUUCAUUUGCUUUAUAGGCUCUCUGUAUAGAGUCAUAGAAUGGUUUGGGCUGGGAGGGACCUUUCAAUGUCAUCUUACCAUGGGCAGCUUGUUAUCAACUCAGCCAAGUUGCUCAGAGUGUCAUCCAACUUGGCCUUGAAUGUUUCCAGGGAUAGGGCAUCCACAGCUUCUCUGGGCACCCUGUUUGAGUUUUUUGUCACCCUCAUUGUAAAAACCAGAAUUCUGUCUUAUAUCUAAUCUAAAUCUACCCUCUUUUAGUUUAAAAUCAUUUUCCCUUGCCCUGUUGCAACAGGCCCUACUAAAAAGUCUGUCCCCAUCUUUCUUAUGGGCCUCCCUUAGGUACUGGAAGGUGACCUAAGGUCUCCCUGGAGCCUUCUCUUCUCCAAUUAAUCACCCCAACUCUUUCAGCCUACCCUCAGGAGAGGUGCCCCAGCCCUGACCAUCUUCGUGGCCCUCCCCUGGACUGACUCCAACAGGUCCAUAUCAUCCUUAUGUUGGGGACUCCAGAGCAAUCAAUCUAACAAGCUGGUGAGAAAAACACCAAACGAAAGUUCCCAUCAUACCUGCAACUCCAGACAAAACUGGACUUGAAGAAUUCCAGCCUCUCCCAUGAUCCAAUUAAAAGGAAAUAAAAUGAGAAGUCCCUUGCCACAGCAGGAGUUGCCAGCAUGCUUCUACUGCUGCCCAGAAGCACUUACCAUGAAUUCCAAGAUAACAGCAGAAGAAUGGGCAGUACCAUCAGCCGAGGGACUUCCUCCUGUGAUUGCUCCUGCAAAGUUCACACUCGUGGAGGAAUGCAUUGAUUUUCUAUUAGAAGAGUUCAACCUCAUUUAUUUCCUCUGGAAUGGAUAUAAAAUAGCCACUUUUAAGGUCAAUAGCACUUUCUAUCCCAUUCUGUAGUUAGAAAGUCCACUGAAAUCUGCUUAAGGCUGACCACUUUUUUCCAUGUGAGUUCUCUUUCACUUGUAGUUGCUUUUGUAGCUUUUCUUUUGAGCCCAUCUGGCUUGAGGAAGGACACAAAACGGGACUCUUGCCUUUCAUCAUCAUUUAUCUUAAACCUAGAAAUGAGCAUGUAGGCUUUACCAAUGCCUGUCCAAGGACAGCUUGCUAGCAACUUAGAGAAAUUAAAGCAACAUAACUAAUUUGGUUAGAGUAGGGUACAUUCAUUUCACAUGUUAAAUGGAGCAAUUUAUUUGCAUACAGGGACAGUCCAUCCCAUUGCAACUGCACUCAGCCUCUGUUGUACUGAUAACAUCACACCUUCAUUGGCAUAAUAACUGAAUAAAGUCCAUGUGAAAGUUAAGCCUGAAGAAAUCAUAUCACAUCUUAAAGGGUUACCAUAUUUUGUCACUCCUCCCUACAACAUGGUAAGACAUAAGAACUGCUUGAAUUCCUGUUGUAAAUUUUCAUGAGUUUCUCAAGAAUUUUGUGAACUGCUCUAGCUUUACAUCUGUGAGCACAGGAACACGUUAGGUGACAUGAAAAAAACUUCAAGGUACCAUAGUAGGAGAGAAAAAGCUUAAAUAUGCAAGCUGAACAUCCUCCAAAUACCUACAGAGAAGAUGAGGAUUUUUAACUAUCAGACAAUUUCAGUCAGUCUCAUGAUUUUGUGAUUUCUUGUGCAUGAUGGAUGUUUUAAAAGCCAUCAAAACCAUUGUCCUUUGUGAAAACAGGUGGGACUCAUUGACUAAACUCAUCGAAGGUGUUGUAGAGUAUCUGAGCCAUCUGCAUGGGGCUGGCAGACUUAACACACUCACCCAGACCUGUGCUGCUCCAUGACAGCAGAUUUGAGACUCUACAGAUACAGACAGAAAGCUGGAUCCCACUCUAGCAGUUUUCCAAGUGUGAAAAACUUGCCCACUCGCAGUCCUGAGCUGUGCUGUGAGGUAGCAUCUCUGGAUGUGCUCCACUGGCACUCAGUGCAGUGGCUACAACCAUAACCCAAGGAAAUAAAAGCACUUCUUCCUUCUAGCCCUGCGUGAAAAGGAGAGGCAGCCAUGGCAAAUGCAAACAUAGCUCAGGUUUAGCACAGGCAGCACCUGCCUGACCAUCCCUGGGGGCUGUUCCUACAAGGUGAACCUGACACCACUGUGGUCACCCUCGCCACCUCCACAUCCUGGCAUCUCUUUGGUCUGGUGGCCCUCUGAGGAACCACAGAGGCCACACCUUGACUGUUUUGUGUCAAUUAAGGCUAAGGAAGACAGUCACCAGAAUUUGUUUUCCUUAAAAGUAGUAUCCAAAUCCAGCCCUUUGAAGAUGAGAAGAGCAGGGCGUCUUUCCUGUAGUGAUUUUCCUAAAUCAUAAAGCCAAGUGUCUUCCUCACACUGCAAGAAGCCUUGAUGGAAAUAAUGCAACUGCAACCCAGCACUGAGUAAGCAGCUCACACCAAUACCUUUCUUUCACAUUUCUUAGUAUUGCAUUUUUUCCCCUGUUACAGCAAAAGGUAUUUUCAUGUAAUUAAACAUGUAAUAUAUUUUCUACAAUUUCUAUGGUUUUUAUAAUUACAGAAUUAGAAGACUAACACUCUAGAAUGCAUUUCCAUAAUUUAUCCAUUCACAGAUAAUCAAACUAUCUAUUGCAUACCUUUAUGCUUGAAUAUAUUACAUACCAGCAACAGUGCAACAGCUGAGGUGAUUUUGCUCUCACACACACCCACUCCAGCAAUAAACAUCAUCUUGACCCAUGUAAAAAAGCUUCCAGAGCUUCCAAUUAUAUGACAUUUAAAAGGCAGGCUACAGGACAAAAGGCUUGGCUAGAGAACUGAUUGCAGGCGUAAAGAGCAUGGUAUGCUCAGAUGACACCCAUCAUGCUCAGAUGCCAAGGAAGGUGUUCAGCAAUUCCAGGUGAGCUAAUUUUUUUUGGUUCCCUGAAUUCAUGCAAUAAAUGUCACUAGCAGGAGAGGCAAUGCCUGCACUGUUGAGCAGCCUUGCUCACCAGUCCUUUUAUCUAUUCAACUAGAGUACAGAAAUGUUGGGUUGCUCCUGAGCUGUCUUCUGGAGUCAAACAACUCUUUUGGAAAGAAAACCCAGUUGCUGUUUUAGUAACUUGCUCAAGAGUCACUCCCAAAGAGCAGCAUGAACAAGGUUCAACCAGUCUUGGCUUCCUUUGCUGGAUACAAACAUGCAAAACUAUCCCAGCAGUCUCUGAUCCCUCAAAUGUCACAUCCCCUUUUGUUUCAUGCUUUUAAUUCCAGUGGAUUGCAAGAACACCCCAGUGCUCAGAUUACUUCAGAUUUUUGAACUGACAACCAAGCAAACAUAGAGAAUAAGUCUUAUGGCCUUGGCUACCCCACGUGGGGUCAGGGGAGGUGCAUGGCCAAGCACAGGGAGGAAAACCAAAGGUUUCUAAAGGCUCUUCCUCUAGAAGUAACUUGCUCCAUUUUGGAAACUGAUGUUAUCUGAAGGGGGGCCGCUCUGCACGUGGACACGUACAGACACUGUGGGUUUGCUGUGGCCCCUGAAGGCUCACAGCAUCCACGAGCACUUCUCCAAUGCCAAGAAAGUGUCAAAGUUGACAAGAAACAAAGCAGCUUUUAGACAAGAAAAGUGACCCUUCUUGGCAGCUGACAACUGUCCAGGGUGGGGUUUAACAUACGAAAGUGUCAACAGACAGGCUUCCCGCUCCUGGGUCAUUAGGAGUUGAAUUUUAAUAAUUUGCUGCUUCUGCUCUACAAUGCCCUUGCAGUUCUCUAAUGCUCCAGUCCUUCCCUGUCCCUGCAAGUCAUCCUAUUUCUUCUCUCCAUCCCACACAUUCAUUCUCAGCAGGCUUCUGGCUCAGUAUGUCUGUGAUACAUCCAAAUAGACUGGUUGACCUGGUGGUUUUCCUCAUCACUUCUGACUUUGGGCUCCUUUCAAAUCAGCCCUGUGCUGAUGAAGCAUAGACAACUUUAUGACACAAACUCUUUGUGAUUCUGCAGGAAUUGUAUUUUCUUUCUUUAAAGCAUUAAAAAAAAAAAAUCAGAGAAGGCCGUGUAAAGUAACCAUGGAGCUGCCAGACACAGUGUUUAAUUUAAUCCCUCCUUUGUCACUAGUUUGCUAUGCAGUCCUUGCCCGUGGGCACACAACUCCUCUGUGAUGCUGCUCUCUCCAGAGGAACUAGCAGAUAACAGGGAUUAUCUGUUGGUGUAACACUCUUCAAGAUGUAGAAAAGAAAAGAAGAUGCAAAGGAUGUGCCACCAAAAAUUUGCCACAAUGGUCAGACAAUUGUGGGCAGCCCCUGGGAUAACCAGUGCCUGCCUGCACCCCGGCAUGCGCGAGUGGGCGGGAAGUGCUUGGAAUGGCUGUUGGAGGCAUGCGGUACAGGAGAAAGGCAUGGGCUUCCUCACACAGCACCUGCAUGUCCUGCACCUGGGGACUGCACUUAAGGAUUUGUUACCUGAACAAGCAAUUAAGGAAAAAAAAAAAUUUAAAAAUACAUACCUUUUAAAGAUUCCUAUUUUUUGUUACCCCAGGCCCCUCCUUCCAGAGCGCGCCACAAGAAAGGAUUGCCCCGACUCCGCUCUCAUUUUAAAAUGCUUCUUUUUAUUUCAGUGGUUGUACAUUGGGUGAAUGAAUUUAACGUCACAACAGAAAUAGAAUGGCUAUUUAACAGACCACUAGUAAUUAUAUAUGCUGGAAAAGAGUGAAUGGAGGGGUUUCUCUUAACUGUUACUGAAAUAUUCAUUGUACGUGUCGUCAAUUAUGCUGGAUGAGAGAGGCAAACAAAAAGGUAUUUUGGUGAGGUGCUGUAUCCUUUGAAGAAAAAAAGCACUGAGACAUCUCAAGUCACUUGAAACCAUGUCCCAGCUACAGUAUUUACUGUCUCCGUGUUGGCCCAUCUCAUGGUUCUUUUAGGGGGGUUAUAUUUCUUGUUGUAUUUUUUUUAAUUAAACAAAGCAUUUAAAAUUUAAUCAUUUUCAUUAGACUUUUUUUUUUAAAAUAUAAACAAAGUUUUGGCAAAUAAUAUUUAUACAGAAAAAUAGUUUUAGAUCUUCCCAAAUUUUGAAAUAGUCUAUAAAAUUACUUUAUAAAUAAAUAAAAUGCAGAAUCUGUUGUACACGUAUUUGCACAUCUCUGUAAUUGCCUCCUUACUGUUAGCAUAGGUUUGUACUUGUACAGUUUUCAGGAAUAUUACAAAGUCAUAAAGUCGGAAAGUGGAUCUCUUAUUAAAAAUACAUUUUCUCUUUUUGUCUGUCAGUUUAUCUGGAUGAAAGACCUGAUGUAUCUGAAGCUUCGUCAUCCAUGGGCAAAAAAUAGUAAUAUUGGAUUAAUUGUAAAAAACAUAGAAUAACAGUAAUUUUGAAACAUAAAAAGUUCACACAAAA
Molecule: long non-coding RNA, 16917 nt
Organism: Haemorhous mexicanus (house finch)
Lineage: Eukaryota; Metazoa; Chordata; Aves; Passeriformes; Fringillidae
Exons: 2
Source: RefSeq, a predicted model, not a curated record